Mycena leptocephala is the source of this 94-nucleotide non-coding RNA. The record is from the annotation of a GenBank genome assembly. NCBI's taxonomy places the organism in Eukaryota, Fungi, Basidiomycota, Agaricomycetes, Agaricales, Mycenaceae.
GACCUGAUGGCCAAUGGUGGCGCCCGCACCGCAUGACAGGGGUUGCUCUAACUGAUAAGAGCGGGCGGUCCUGGUUCGAUUCCAGGUUGGGUCA